CCCCUUGUGGUGUAGUUGGCUAUCACGUUCGGCUGUAAUUGAAAACAAGAUUGUAUACCGAAAGGUCACCGGCUCGAUUCCGGUCGAGGGGA
This is a non-coding RNA of Sordaria brevicollis, 92 nucleotides long. The record is from the annotation of a GenBank genome assembly. NCBI's taxonomy places the organism in Eukaryota, Fungi, Ascomycota, Sordariomycetes, Sordariales, Sordariaceae.